UGAGGAAUAUUGGUCAAUGGACGCAAGUCUGAACCAGCCAUGCCGCGUGAAGGAUGAAGGCGUUCUGCGUUGUAAACUUCUUUUAUCUGGGAAGAAACCUCCGAUUUCUAUUGGAGCCGACGGUACCAGAGGAAUAAGCACCGGCUAACUCCGUGCCAGCAGCCGCGGUAAUACGGAGGGUGCAAGCGUUAUCCGGAUUCACUGGGUUUAAAGGGUGUGUAGGCGGGUAUUUAAGUCAGUGGUGAAAUCUCCAGGCUCAACCUGGAAACUGCCAUUGAUACUAUUUAUCUUGAAUCCUGUUGAGGUGGGCGGAAUAUAUCAUGUAGCGGUGAAAUGCUUAGAUAUGAUAUAGAACACCGAUUGCGAAGGCAGCUCACUAAACAGGUAUUGACGCUGAGGCACGAAAGCGUGGGGAUCAAACAG
RNAcentral lists this ribosomal RNA (423 nucleotides) under uncultured bacterium. RNAcentral's name for it is "bacterial SSU rRNA". It matches the Rfam family "Bacterial small subunit ribosomal RNA", at positions 355 to 775 of the family's 1533-position model. The record is from RNAcentral.